This 475-nucleotide ribosomal RNA is filed under the name Pseudomonas sp. 01WB03.3-49. RNAcentral's name for it is "bacterial SSU rRNA". It matches the Rfam family "Bacterial small subunit ribosomal RNA", at positions 1 to 480 of the family's 1533-position model. Lineage: Bacteria; Pseudomonadati; Pseudomonadota; Gammaproteobacteria; Pseudomonadales; Pseudomonadaceae. The record is from RNAcentral.
UAGAGUUGAUCAUGGCUCAGAUUGAACGCUGGCGGCAGGCCUAACACAUGCAAGUCGAGCGGUAGAGAGGUGCUUGCACCUCUUGAGAGCGGCGGACGGGUGAGUAAUGCCUAGGAAUCUGCCUGAUAGUGGGGGAUAACGUUCGGAAACGGACGCUAAUACCGCAUACGUCCUACGGGAGAAAGCAGGGGACCUUCGGGCCUUGCGCUAUCAGAUGAGCCUAGGUCGGAUUAGCUAGUUGGUGAGGUAAAGGCUCACCAAGGCGACGAUCCGUAACUGGUCUGAGAGGAUGAUCAGUCACACUGGAACUGAGACACGGUCCAGACUCCUACGGGAGGCAGCAGUGGGGAAUAUUGGACAAUGGGCGAAAGCCUGAUCCAGCCAUGCCGCGUGUGUGAAGAAGGUCUUCGGAUUGUAAAGCACUUUAAGUUGGGAGGAAGGGUCGUUACCUAAUACGUGACGAUUUGACGUACCG